GGCAUUUGCAGAAGCCUUGAGAUCUGACAUCAGUUUGAUGGUGACUUCACUGAUGGACUUGGGGAUGGCCGUCAACGUGAAUUCAGAAGAGCUGACAUGCUGAAGGUUCUGCCGCAUAUAUUUAUCCAGAUUGCGACCCCCUUGCUUCAGCCUGAGAUGGAUGUCAAGGGGAAAAUGUUCUGUUAGUGUCAGCUAAAAUUUCAAUCUUUUGAGUUAGUUCAGCUUUCUAUGUAUUUUUGUUUAAAAAUCUC
Molecule: unclassified non-coding RNA, 251 nt
Filed under: Hevea brasiliensis (rubber tree)
Lineage: Eukaryota; Viridiplantae; Streptophyta; Magnoliopsida; Malpighiales; Euphorbiaceae
Source: RNAcentral